UAGUCAAUGCUCGCAAGAGUGAACUAGCUAACUGAAAUCAUAGAAUUUCUUCAAAUUCGUGAUGUCGUAAGGGAAAAUAAUGAUAAUACCUUACUAUGAGUGUCGUCCAAAUCUGGUGCCAGAAGACUCGGUAAGACCAGAGACGCAAACGUUAAUCAUCAUAAUCAGGCGUAAAGGGUUUGUAGGCAGCUUAAAAAAAUUUAAGCUAGAAUCUAACAGAGGUUAUAGUGUAUAACGCCUAGAGGAGGGCUAAUAUCCAUAGAUCCUAGGCAGAAUACUAAAGGCGAAGGCCACUCUCCACUAAAGAUUGACGCUGAGAAACGAAGGUUAGGAUAGGAAAAAGGAUUAGAUACCCUGUUACCCCUUUCUGUAAACGAUGAAUGGUAGUUUUUAGUACAUAAUUAGAGACGAAGUUAACACAAUAACCAUUCCGCCUUGUGAGUACUACUGCAAAGUAGAAAACAAAAAAAUUAGUCGGUCUCGAAGCAAACGGAGUGAAGCAUGUUAUUUAAU
Molecule: ribosomal RNA, 513 nt
Filed under: Picipes sp. ZJL-20161
Lineage: Eukaryota; Fungi; Basidiomycota; Agaricomycetes; Polyporales; Polyporaceae
Description: partial small subunit ribosomal RNA
Rfam family: Bacterial small subunit ribosomal RNA
Source: RNAcentral